RNAcentral lists this ribosomal RNA (494 nucleotides) under uncultured bacterium. Its description in RNAcentral is "partial 16S ribosomal RNA". It matches the Rfam family "Bacterial small subunit ribosomal RNA", at positions 28 to 507 of the family's 1533-position model. The record is from RNAcentral.
GACGAACGCUGGCGGCGUGCUUAACACAUGCCAGUCGAACGGUGAAGCGCCUUCCUUUUUGGUGGGUGUGGAUGAGUGGCGAACGGGUGAGUAACACGUGAGUAACCUGCCCCCUUCUUCUGGAUAACCGCAUGAAAGUGUGGCUAAUACGGGAUAUUCUGGGUCUGUCGCAUGAUGGGUCUGGGAAAGAUAUUGUUUCGGUGGGGGAUGGGCUCGCGGCCUAUCAGCUUGUUGGUGGGGUGAUGGCCUACCAAGGCGGUGACGGGUAGCCGGCCUGAGAGGGUGGACGGUCACACUGGGAAUGAGACACGGCCCAGACUCCUACGGGAGGCAGCAGUGGGGAAUAUUGCGCAAUGGGCGCAAGCCUGAUGCAGCGACGCCGCGUGAGGGAUGGAGGCCUUCGGGUUGUGAACCUCUUUCGCCAGUGAAGCAGGCCUGCCUCGUUUGUGGGUGGGUUGACGGUAGCUGGAUAAGAAGCGCCGGCUAACUACGUG